This 681-nucleotide ribosomal RNA is filed under the name marine bacterium SIMO-4225. RNAcentral's name for it is "bacterial SSU rRNA". It matches the Rfam family "Bacterial small subunit ribosomal RNA", at positions 107 to 772 of the family's 1533-position model. The record is from RNAcentral.
UGAGUAACACGUGGGUAACCUGCCUGUAAGACUGGGAUAACUCCGGGAAACCGGGGCUAAUACCGGAUAACUCAUUUCCUCGCAUGAGGAAAUGUUGAAAGGUGGCUUUUAGCUACCACUUACAGAUGGACCCGCGGCGCAUUAGCUAGUUGGUGAGGUAACGGCUCACCAAGGCGACGAUGCGUAGCCGACCUGAGAGGGUGAUCGGCCACACUGGGACUGAGACACGGCCCAGACUCCUACGGGAGGCAGCAGUAGGGAAUCUUCCGCAAUGGACGAAAGUCUGACGGAGCAACGCCGCGUGAGUGAUGAAGGUUUUCGGAUCGUAAAGCUCUGUUGUUAGGGAAGAACAAGUGCCGUUCGAAUAGGGCGGCACCUUGACGGUACCUAACCAGAAAGCCACGGCUAACUACGUGCCAGCAGCCGCGGUAAUACGUAGGUGGCAAGCGUUGUCCGGAAUUAUUGGGCGUAAAGCGCGCGCAGGUGGUUUCUUAAGUCUGAUGUGAAAGCCCACGGCUCAACCGUGGAGGGUCAUUGGAAACUGGGGAACUUGAGUGCAGAAGAGGAAAGUGGAAUUCCAAGUGUAGCGGUGAAAUGCGUAGAUAUUUGGAGGAACACCAGUGGCGAAGGCGACUUUCUGGUCUGUAACUGACACUGAGGCGCGAAAGCGUGGGGAGCAAA